UUGUACAUUUCCUCUACACCACGUCCCCAUUAAUACACACCCCCUUUACUCCGUACCAAAUCCUGCAGUUUCUUGAAUAGCAAUUGUGAGUUUUUGUUCUAGUUCUUCUUUGGAAUUAUAAGGCGGAAUAUCUAAACGAUUGAAGCUGUUCAAAUUAGUAACAGUACUUAAAAAAUUUUAACAUACCAAGUAUGAGCUUUUGGAAGCUGAGAGAUAUGCCCUACUUUCUCGAUUGUAAACUUUCGUGGGCCAUCACUACCAUGCAUGUCCUUGAACCCGGAUAAAGGAAGCCUGGAGGUACCAGUAGCAAAUUGCAGAAGCUUCGCCUUUUUUUCCGGAGACCACUCACUCAGUAGCUCCCAAAACCAAAUUACAAUGUCAUCAGUCUCAGUAUAAGACCUAUAGUCUGUAAAACGCUUCCAAUCUUGAACGUCGAUAUCCCUUUUUCCGUUAAGUAAUGUAUCAAGUUCGUUUUCAUUAAAUAUUUGCAAAACCGAAUCAGGUAUUAAUUCAUUCAAUCCACCUUUCAAAGCAUUAAAUUGCUCUUCAGUACUGGUGACAAGUUUAUGCUCCGUAAGAGCUUUAAGAUAAUUCAUUUUAUUCUGAUUAUUGACUGCAAUAUUACGGCCAUUUGGAAUUAAAUCGACCGUCACAGAUUCACCAAAUCGGUUUUCCUCAACGCUAAAGUUUAGGCACAGAGAUUCAUCAACAUCAUUGUUCUUAAUCCAUUUCAAGCUUUCAUAAUAAACUUCAUCAACAUCCUUUACGUCCUCGAGGCACAAUGGCUUUUGGAGGAUCCGUUUAUAAAAAGGUAAUACAAAUUGAACAUCCAAAUAUCGACGAUGAUAUAUAGCCAAUCCCAUAACUCUGCCAACAAACCGAAAGUAGGAACGAAAAUCUGGAUUCACAGAAGAUAAGGGGCUAAUUUGAAGACCAUAGUUAUCGUCUGUAGCAUAUUCAAACAAGGAAUACCCAGGAUUGAAUAUUGCAUGAGACAAAAUAUAAAAGAACUCCCUAGAAACCCCUCCAUAAUCCAAACCGUCUUCAUUACGGAAUCGAAUUAGGAGCUUCUUUUUCAUAUCGCUAACGGAUAACUUUGAUAUUAUAUCGUACGCGUCUUCAAAUGUAGUGGCUCUGCUAACCUUUAGCUGAAGUUGAGCAUCAUUAACGGCCAUUUCAGGCCGGUCAUACAUGUAAGCGAUUUUUCUUUGAUAUUCAUCGUUGAUUUGUUGGAUUGAAUCUGUAUUUUCAGACACGCUGUCAGAAGCCACAACAUUAUCUCUGGGAUCACUCCAUGUAGUCGUUUUAGUAGAAUGAUCCACAAAAUAAACAUGAUAGUCUUCACUUAAACGCAUCUCCCACCCGGCUGGAAGCGGUCCCUUUUCGACGGCCACUUGCUGGCGAACAGACAAAGCCAAAGGGUAGUGUUCCAAUAAAUGUUUGAUUACUUUGUAUUCCAGAUUAAUUUUUAAAGAAGAUUUCGAUUGAUUAUUAAAAAGAAACUGAGAAAAAACUUCUUUCAGCUGUUUAGGAGUCAAAUUUUCAAGCUUCUCAUGAGAAAUGGCUGAUAUCACCGAUAGCUGAGGAGAUUUUAAAUAAUAAACAUGCCCAAACUCAUCAAUUCUUGUUUCCCAAGCGCAUCCACUAGCAUCAUCAAUAAUGUCGGUACAAAUUUGCGAUUUAUCA
RNAcentral lists this long non-coding RNA (1686 nucleotides) under Schizosaccharomyces pombe (fission yeast). The record is from RNAcentral. Lineage: Eukaryota; Fungi; Ascomycota; Schizosaccharomycetes; Schizosaccharomycetales; Schizosaccharomycetaceae.